Molecule: transfer RNA, 72 nt
Filed under: Ovis aries (sheep)
Lineage: Eukaryota; Metazoa; Chordata; Mammalia; Artiodactyla; Bovidae
Rfam family: tRNA
About the family: Transfer RNA (tRNA) molecules are approximately 80 nucleotides in length. Their secondary structure includes four short double-helical elements and three loops (D, anti-codon, and T loops).
Source: Rfam by way of RNAcentral
UCCCUGGUGGCUCAGCUGGUAAAGAAUCUGCCUGCAAUGCAGGACACCUGGGUUCGAUUCCUGGGUUGGGAA